GACAGAGGGUGCAAGCGUUGUUCGGAAUUACUGGGCGUAAAGCGCGCGUAGGCAGCAGCGUGUGUCGGGCGUGAAAUCCCACGGCUCAACCGUGGAAGUGCACUCGAAACUGCGCAGCUAGAGUCUCGGAGAGGAAGGCGGAAUGCUUGGUGUAGAGGUGAAAUUCGUAGAUAUCAAGCGGAACACCGGUGGCGAAGGCAAUCCCCUGGGCCUGCACUGACGCUCAUGCACGAAAGCGUGGGGAGCAAACAGG
RNAcentral lists this ribosomal RNA (253 nucleotides) under uncultured bacterium. Its description in RNAcentral is "partial 16S ribosomal RNA". It matches the Rfam family "Bacterial small subunit ribosomal RNA", at positions 524 to 776 of the family's 1533-position model. The record is from RNAcentral.